GCCUUUUUUGCAAAGGCUGGAUUGGACUAUGUUUCAUGUUCUUCCUUCAGGGUUCCUAUUGCUAGACUUGCAGCAGCCCAAGUUGCAAUUUGAGAUUUGCCUCCCCAAAUGUAAAUACACAAACCAUAAAGAUACAUUGGAGCCAUGUACAAUAAAGGAGCUUCUACUUUACCUAAAUUGUAGGAAUAACUGCUGCUGCUCAAUAAUAAGUCUUGAUAUAUUUGUUAUUGUGUUAUUCUAUAAUGUUAUUCCGAAUAAUAGGCAGAAGAAAGAAAGAAAAUUUGUACAA
Long non-coding RNA from Dioscorea cayenensis subsp. rotundata (Guinea yam), 289 nucleotides. RefSeq lists it as uncharacterized. Lineage: Eukaryota; Viridiplantae; Streptophyta; Magnoliopsida; Dioscoreales; Dioscoreaceae. The record is from RefSeq and is a predicted model, not a curated record. The transcript is spliced from 2 exons.